CCUGGCGGCCUUAGCGCGGUGGUCCCACCUGACCCCAUGCCGAACUCAGAAGUGAAACGCCGUAGCGCCGAUGGUAGUGUAGGGUCUCCCCAUGCGAGAGUAGGGAACUGCCAGGC
This 116-nucleotide ribosomal RNA is filed under the name Escherichia coli. The record is from RNAcentral. RNAcentral also lists the same sequence under 1 other name. Lineage: Bacteria; Pseudomonadati; Pseudomonadota; Gammaproteobacteria; Enterobacterales; Enterobacteriaceae.